Molecule: long non-coding RNA, 582 nt
Filed under: Pan troglodytes (chimpanzee)
Lineage: Eukaryota; Metazoa; Chordata; Mammalia; Primates; Hominidae
Description: long non-coding RNA NONPTRT016034
Source: RNAcentral
AAGGUCUUCAAGAGCUAUAAUAUGGAAUAAACUUUGCAAAAAUUCUGAUGUCAAGAGGUUUCCACUUCAGUUAAUAAAAUUAAAAGGAUCAAAAGGGGCUCUGAGAAAUCUACAAACCAGACUGGAAAACAUGUUUCUACUCUGGAUGACACACACUCAAUGGAAGCUUCAUGACUAAGAAACAUGUUCUCAACAGAAAAAAAGACAUCUGCUUAGUUUGGAUUCGUUUGGGAAUUUCUCCUUGGUACGGCUAUAGGUAACUUCAAGGUAACCUCAAGGCAACAGAAAGGGAUCUACUCAAGUUGUUGGCUGAAGACUGGAUAGUCAAGGAAGGCCUCAGCUGGCAGUCUGGAGAUUGGCCAGAGGGAAAGCAACAACUACAACUCGUGUGACCUAUGUUAACCAGGAGAUACACACACCUUCUGCUAAAACAUAUAAACGUCAUGUCACAGCCCUCCACAGAAAAGCAGAAUGGACAGAAUAGCAACAUUCACACAGAAAGCAUGAGACGUACCUUUAGCCACCAAUAAAUUAUCAAGAAAAAAUUUGAAGCUGCUGACAUUGAAGAUUACCAGAUUCUCC